RNAcentral lists this long non-coding RNA (917 nucleotides) under Eucalyptus grandis. RNAcentral's name for it is "long non-coding RNA (EGRA_LNC002246)". The record is from RNAcentral. Lineage: Eukaryota; Viridiplantae; Streptophyta; Magnoliopsida; Myrtales; Myrtaceae.
UGCUAUUUAUUCCAUCUUUAAUAUUGUAGCUAACUGUAAUUUGCCCGCGACUAACUUAUUCUUAUCUUGGUCAAUGCACGAAGUAAUUGCACAUAUUAUAAAAAGAUAAGAUCUCCAUAUUCCAGUUGGCUAGCAUGUGCUAUCUAUUUAAUUUUUAAAAUCGUAACUAACUGGCGUUUGCUUUUGUUUAAUCUCAACUCAAACUUAAAAUAAAUACAGUUGUGGGAAAGCUAAAAUUUAAAAUAAAUACAAUUGUGGGAAACUACGGUAGUUAUGUACAUGACAAAACCAUAAAAAGAAAAACCAAAUAUUUCUAAAUCCCGAAUUAAAAACUUAGGAUCAUGAAAAGGGUCCCUUAGAUGCUACUAACACUGCUUGAUGCUGAUUUAAUUUGGUAUGAAAUAAUGACAACUUGAACAAGAUUUCCAGAUUCGGAUUAGCAAGAUUUGAUGAUUGGCUCUUUCAGCAGAAGAAUAACCCGACACUCACCAAGUUUUUCGACCAAGUGGUUGCUCUCCUCUGGUGUAUAUGGAAGAACCGGAACAAGCAUAUCUUCGGUCACCAUCCCCUGUCACCGCAGCAAACUUUAUUCCAGGCGGCAACUCUGCUGGAUAACCUCAGAAACUCAAAUCAUCCACCAGAAACUGAAAAGAAAGAUGAUACUGCACCUGCUCGGUGGAGUCCUCCCCCUCUCGGAACCCUAAAGAUCAACGUGGACGCGUCCUUUAGUGAAUUGCACGAAGCUGAAGCAGCGACUGAAGAUGACCCGAACCCAGCACAGAACAGAGCAGCGAUUGCGUGUCUAUGCAGGGACUCACGAGGCUGUCUCGUAGAUGGCUUCGCGCAAGUCGUUGAUGCUUCCUCAGCCACCCAAGCGGAAGCCCUAGCUCUCCUUCAAACCCUAGAUCUGCUCUCCU